This 907-nucleotide ribosomal RNA is filed under the name marine metagenome. Its description in RNAcentral is "bacterial SSU rRNA". It matches the Rfam family "Bacterial small subunit ribosomal RNA", at positions 8 to 913 of the family's 1533-position model. The record is from RNAcentral.
AGAGUUUGAUCCUGGCUCAGGAUGAACGCUAGCGGCAGGCUUAAUACAUGCAAGUCGAACGGUAACAGGUCCUUCGGGACGCUGACGAGUGGCGCACGGGUGAGUAACGCGUACAAAACCUACCUUUUACUGGGGGAAAGUCGCUGGAAACGGCGAAUAAUCCCGCAUAAGACCACAGUGUCGCAUGGCACAGAGGUUAAAGGUUUCGGCCGGUAAAAGAUGGUUGUGCGUUCCAUUAGCUAGAUGGUAGGGUAAUGGCCUACCAUGGCGACGAUGGGUAGGGGGCGUGAGAGCGUGAUCCCCCACACGGGUACUGAGACACGGACCCGACUCCUACGGGAGGCAGCAGUAAGGAAUAUUGGUCAAUGGGCGAAAGCCUGAACCAGCCAUGCCGCGUGUGUGAUGAAGGCCCUUUGGGUUGUAAAGCACUUUUAGAUAGGAAGAAUGACAGGGAUUUAUCCUUGGAGAGACGGUACUAUCAGAAUAAGCACCGGCUAACUCCGUGCCAGCAGCCGCGGUAAUACGGAGGGUGCAAGCGUUAUCCGGAAUCACUGGGUUUAAAGGGUACGUAGGCGGUAAUAUAAGUCAGACGUCAAAGGCUGUGGCUAAACCAUAGUACGCGUUUGAAACUAUAUCACUUGAAUAUGUUCGAGGUGCACGGAAUGCGUCAUGUAGCGGUGAAAUGCAUAGAUAUGACGUAGAACACCAAUUGCGAAGGCAGUGCACUAGGGCAUUAUUGACGCUGAGGUACGAAAGCGUGGGUAGCGAACAGGAUUAGAUACCCUGGUAGUCCACGCCCUAAACGAUGCUAACUGGUCAUUUAUCACUUGAGAUAAGUGACUGAGGGAAACCAUUAAGUUAGCCACCUGGGGAGUACGUUCGCAAGAAUGAAACUCAAAGGAAUUGA